This is a long non-coding RNA of Rhipicephalus microplus (southern cattle tick), 466 nucleotides long. NCBI's taxonomy places the organism in Eukaryota, Metazoa, Arthropoda, Arachnida, Ixodida, Ixodidae. The record is from RefSeq and is a predicted model, not a curated record.
UCCGCUCAAGUUUCAGUCAUCGCAGGAAGCACCUGCGCUCUGGACAGACGCGUCAUCUUUCGGACAGCUUCGCCUCAGCCCGCCGUGUAUUUCCCCGUCGUGAGCGACGCGUGAGAAAAAAAAUACGAGACCCCACCGCCGUCGCAUCAUCGUCCGGUGCUGCCGCAGCGGGCUGGGCGCCAACGCGCGCGCCAUUUUCCUCCUCUCCCGCCUGCCUCCUCCGCCGGGACACACGCCGCCGCCAUGCGCCGCCAUCUUGGAAAUCGUCCGCUCUUCCUGAGGCUGAUACACUUUGCGAUGGCCGAGCCCAGAGUUCAGAUGGCGCAUCCUAACAAACUAUAGUUAAAGCUGUCCUGGAAGGACUGGACUCAGCUGUGAACAUCAGCAUCACUAUCGGGCGGUUCAACAAGCCUCCGAUAGAUGGCACCAGGAGGAGCGGCAACUUUUUACUUCUCGAGACCGAAAG